This 297-nucleotide ribosomal RNA is filed under the name uncultured bacterium. RNAcentral describes it as "partial 16S ribosomal RNA". It matches the Rfam family "Bacterial small subunit ribosomal RNA", at positions 775 to 1067 of the family's 1533-position model. The record is from RNAcentral.
GGAUUAGAUACCCUGGUAGUCCAUGCUGUAAACUAUGGAUACUCGCUGUAGCUGGUAUUGACCCCGGCUGUAGCCAAGUUAACACGUUAAGUAUCCCGCCUGGGGAGUACGGUCGCAAGAUUAAAACUCAAAGGAAUUGACGGGGGCCCGCACAAGCGGUGGAUUAUGUGGUUUAAUUCGAAGCAACGCGCAAAACCUUACCUAGGCUUGACAUGCACCGGAAUAGACCUGGAAACAGGCUAGUCCCGCAAGGGACUGGUGACACAGGUGCUGCAUGGCUGUCGUCAGCUCGUGCCG